ACACUUACCUGGCAGGGGAGAUAUCAUCAUCACGAAGGUGGUUUCCCAGGGCAAAGCUUAUCCAUUGUACUCUAGAUGUGCUGACCCCUGCGAUUUCCCCAAAUGUGGGAAACUCGACUGCAUAAUUUGUGGUGGUGGGGGACUGCUUUCACGCUCUCCUCUA
Molecule: small nuclear RNA, 163 nt
Filed under: Choloepus hoffmanni (Hoffmann's two-fingered sloth)
Lineage: Eukaryota; Metazoa; Chordata; Mammalia; Pilosa; Megalonychidae
Description: U1 spliceosomal RNA (ENSCHOG00000014053.1)
Rfam family: U1 spliceosomal RNA
About the family: U1 is a small nuclear RNA (snRNA) component of the spliceosome (involved in pre-mRNA splicing).
Source: RNAcentral